CCCAAACCCCCCAACUCUAACCCUGAAACCUUUACCUUCAUUCAAUUUCUUGUGUGAUUGAUGGAUAAGCAAAAUUUCAAUCGAUUGACGAGGAGUAAAUCAGAUAUUUUAAUUUACCACUUUAAUUUUGAUAUAAAAUCCUAAAAUCAAAAUAAAAUUAGUGGAUCUUGAUUGGAUUUCUAGGUAGACCAUGGCCAAUAGGGACCAACCUCUGGCUCCGCCCUGAAUUGAGCAUACAAGGUUGCGGUCUGGCCGGCCACCCAUGCCGGCGUUCCGGAGCUCGUCUGACUAGGCUUUGGAACCCUCCCACCGACCUUCGCAUACGUUGCGAGGGAGCGAGCGAGCAGAGGCACCGAGCAUAAAGAGGAACUAACCUGCAAAGAUAGGGGAUUUAAUGUAAAUAGAGAAGAAAGCCCCCGAUAUGGAUCGAGAUUAAAUUGCAGUCGAGAAGGGGGUUCUCUGCAAAUACAGCAUCGUUCUCCCCACCGGUGGCCGGCGACCGGCAUCGACGGGGCUCCCUCCCCAGGUUCCGACGGACAGCCCUCUAGGCAGAUCCCGUUGAGUUCACCUUCUCAAGUUUGUCACAUACCGCGCUAGAUGAUAUCGGCGGUGGUGAGGAGGGUGAGGAAACCAGCCAACGGCGGGAGGUCUGUGCCGCCUUGGCCGGCAGGUCGCGCACCAGGCCAUCGUUGUGCAGACGCGGACGAAGACGAUGCUGCACAGAAAAGUUAACGGACGACCGGCACUACCUGAAGGAUUCAGGAACUACAAAAGAAUGAGCUCCAGAAAAGCUUCGUUCGUCAAUCAGCGACCAGAACAGCAAUUCAAAGCAUUGUGGCAGCUGGGUGCUGCUCCGGCGCCGGAGGCUCGUCGGCGUAGUACAUCUUGAGCCUGAUAUGCCGCGCAUCCAGUUGAGGAAGCUCUUCUUCUGUAGCGGGAAGUGGACAAGCGCCUCCUCGCCCUUGCACACGAACUGGCGCGCGUUGAGGCGGACGCGGCUGAGGAAGCUGUUCCGCCUGCUGGGCCCCAUGAGCACAUCGUGCAGCACGGGAACGGCAACCUCGAGCACCUCCACCUCGUCAUUGGCGACCGCGGGGUUGACGCCGCCGCCGUCAGGCCAGAGGCGGCGAAAUCGAGCGCUUCGUUCCACCUUCCACGCCAGGUUGAGGUCGCGGACCACGAUGCGCGUCGUGCAGUGCUGCCCGGCGAAGUCGGCGCGCGUGUAGGGGCUGGAUGACCCCAGGAAUCUCGAGGGCCGCCGCCGCCGCCGGGAGCCUUCGCCAUGCUAGGGAGGGAGCGAGCGAGGGGCAGCCGGCGCAAAGAGGGACUAACUUACAAAGCUAGGGGGUUUACUGAAAAAUAUCUGAUCGCGAUUAAUAAUCAUGAUUAAUAAUCGCGAUCCAAAUCAGGACUUUAUGUGUUAAAUACCCGGACACCAAAUUUCAGAUAACCUCCUUGUUUGGAUCGCGAUUAAUACCGCGAUCCAAGUCAGGGGGCUAUAUGUAAAAAUACCAGGACACCAAUUUCAGAGAACCCCCUAAUUUGAAUCGUGAUCAAAUCUAGGGGCUUUCUGCAAAAUACAGCAUCGCUCUCCCAGUCUCCCCUUCCGUCGCCGGCGACCGGCGUUGACGGAGCUUCCCCUCCGGGUUCCGGCCAAUGGCCCUGUUCCGGGUGGAACCCGUUGAUCCCAGCUCCUCAAGUUCGUCGCAGACAGCGUUGGACCAUACCGGCGGAGACGAGGAGGCGCGCGAGAAAGCCAAUCAACGGCGGGAGAUCUGCGCCGCCUCGGCCGGGAGGUCGCACACCAGGCCAGUGCUGUGCAGACGAAGCCGAUGCGCCGGGAGCCAUGUAUGUCAUCUGUAACACUAACACAAAAACAAAGGCCAAGUUCUUCGUUUGUCAAUCAGCAACUAGGAACGACGGCGCGGAUCUUCAGGUAGCCGGACUUGGCAGCUGCUGGAGGCGACGAUCCAUCGAAAAGGAUGAGCAGGUACCCUGUGGCAGCCUUGAAUCUGAAUAACUCCGAGGAAAGAAACCGUGAGUCUCUGUUGUUUGAAAAGAAACCAUCGGUCUCCGACGACAAAAUACAGGCGCCUAAAGUUACCUCGACGAUCUCUUCAUUGCUCCUCUCGCAGUUCUUCCCAAUGAUACAAACUGUAAUCUUGCGCCAAAUAGACUAGGACUUUGGCUUUCUGAUGUCGUCUUGUAUGUGUUGCAUUUCUUGCACCAGAUUAACGAGCCUGUCAGUCCCAUCAGAAUCAAGGCCACAGGCGUUGUGGCACUGCCGAAAUUAUGUGAAGAAAAAUAUGUCAAA
Molecule: long non-coding RNA, 2314 nt
Organism: Panicum hallii
Lineage: Eukaryota; Viridiplantae; Streptophyta; Magnoliopsida; Poales; Poaceae
Exons: 2
Source: RefSeq, a predicted model, not a curated record